RNAcentral lists this ribosomal RNA (1522 nucleotides) under Escherichia coli. Its description in RNAcentral is "bacterial SSU rRNA". It matches the Rfam family "Bacterial small subunit ribosomal RNA". The record is from RNAcentral. Lineage: Bacteria; Pseudomonadati; Pseudomonadota; Gammaproteobacteria; Enterobacterales; Enterobacteriaceae.
AGAGUUUGAUCAUGGCUCAGAUUGAACGCUGGCGGCAGGCCUAACACAUGCAAGUCGAACGGUAACAGGAAACAGCUUGCUGUUUCGCUGACGAGUGGCGGACGGGUGAGUAAUGUCUGGGAAACUGCCUGAUGGAGGGGGAUAACUACUGGAAACGGUAGCUAAUACCGCAUAAUGUCGCAAGACCAAAGAGGGGGACCUUCGGGCCUCUUGCCAUCGGAUGUGCCCAGAUGGGAUUAGCUUGUUGGUGGGGUAACGGCUCACCAAGGCGACGAUCCCUAGCUGGUCUGAGAGGAUGACCAGCCACACUGGAACUGAGACACGGCCCAGACUCCUACGGGAGGCAGCAGUGGGGAAUAUUGCACAAUGGGCGCAAGCCUGAUGCAGCCAUGCCGCGUGUAUGAAGAAGGCCUUCGGGUUGUAAAGUACUUUCAGCGGGGAGGAAGGGAGUAAAGUUAAUACCUUUGCUCAUUGACGUUACCCGCAGAAGAAGCACCGGCUAACUCCGUGCCAGCAGCCGCGGUAAUACGGAGGGUGCAAGCGUUAAUCGGAAUUACUGGGCGUAAAGCGCACGCAGGCGGUUUGUUAAGUCAGAUGUGAAAUCCCCGGGCUCAACCUGGGAACUGCAUCUGAUACUGGCAAGCUUGAGUCUCGUAGAGGGGGGUAGAAUUCCAGGUGUAGCGGUGAAAUGCGUAGAGAUCUGGAGGAAUACCGGUGGCGAAGGCGGCCCCCUGGACGAAGACUGACGCUCAGGUGCGAAAGCGUGGGGAGCAAACAGGAUUAGAUACCCUGGUAGUCCACGCCGUAAACGAUGUCGACUUGGAGGUUGUGCCCUUGAGGCGUGGCUUCCGGAGCUAACGCGUUAAGUCGACCGCCUGGGGAGUACGGCCGCAAGGUUAAAACUCAAAUGAAUUGACGGGGGCCCGCACAAGCGGUGGAGCAUGUGGUUUAAUUCGAUGCAACGCGAAGAACCUUACCUGGUCUUGACAUCCACGGAAGUUUUCAGAGAUGAGAAUGUGCCUUCGGGAACCGUGAGACAGGUGCUGCAUGGCUGUCGUCAGCUCGUGUUGUGAAAUGUUGGGUUAAGUCCCGCAACGAGCGCAACCCUUAUCCUUUGUUGCCAGCGGUCCGGCCGGGAACUCAAAGGAGACUGCCAGUGAUAAACUGGAGGAAGGUGGGGAUGACGUCAAGUCAUCAUGGCCCUUACGACCAGGGCUACACACGUGCUACAAUGGCGCAUACAAAGAGAAGCGACCUCGCGAGAGCAAGCGGACCUCAUAAAGUGCGUCGUAGUCCGGAUUGGAGUCUGCAACUCGACUCCAUGAAGUCGGAAUCGCUAGUAAUCGUGGAUCAGAAUGCCACGGUGAAUACGUUCCCGGGCCUUGUACACACCGCCCGUCACACCAUGGGAGUGGGUUGCAAAAGAAGUAGGUAGCUUAACCUUCGGGAGGGCGCUUACCACUUUGUGAUUCAUGACUGGGGUGAAGUCGUAACAAGGUAACCGUAGGGGAACCUGCGGUUG